AUAGUGCAGCAGACCCACCUGAACCCAUGCCGAACUCAGAAGUGAAAUGUUGUAACGCCGAUGGUAGUGUGGGGUUUCCCCAUGUGAGAGUAGG
This 94-nucleotide ribosomal RNA is filed under the name Pasteurella multocida subsp. multocida str. HN06. Lineage: Bacteria; Pseudomonadati; Pseudomonadota; Gammaproteobacteria; Pasteurellales; Pasteurellaceae. The record is from RNAcentral. RNAcentral also lists the same sequence under 1 other name.